GUGCGCUGGGCGGCGCUCGGACCCCUUGGCAGCCGCAGGUGCCUCCCCAGCCCAGCCCAGCUCAGUCCAGCGCAGCCCAGCCCAGCCCGGCCCUUGCAGCCUCCGCCGCUUCCAGGCAGAUAGGUGCCUUUCCUUGCUCCUUGCUCUUGGAGUUCUUCUCUUAGUCCGUGCUCCCUGGAUGAAAGCAUCGCUCCGAGCCUCAUGGGAGGAAUGAAGGAAGAAUCGAGACUAGAUAUCCAACUAAGGCUUCAGGACAUGUUUUGAGCGAAGAUGUGUGUUUCUGCCCGGAUAGUAUAAAUCGAGGAUCCAGGUCUGGGCAGAUUCAACCAUGGGAGCCAACACUUCAAGCAAACCACCAGUGUUUGAUGAAAAUGAAGAUGUCAACUUUGACCACUUUGAAAUUUUGCGAGCCAUUGGGAAAGGCAGUUUUGGGAAGGUCUGCAUUGUACAGAAGAAUGAUACCAAGAAGAUGUACGCAAUGAAGUACAUGAAUAAACAAAAGUGCGUGGAGCGCAAUGAAGUGAGAAAUGUCUUCAAGGAACUCCAGAUCAUGCAGGGUCUGGAGCACCCUUUCCUGGUUAAUUUGUGGUAUUCCUUCCAAGAUGAGGAAGACAUGUUCAUGGUGGUGGACCUCCUGCUCGGUGGAGACCUGCGUUAUCACCUGCAACAGAACGUCCGCUUCAAGGAAGAAACAGUGAAGCUCUUCAUCUGUGAGCUGGUCAUGGCCCUGGACUACCUGCAGAGCCAGCGCAUCAUUCACAGGGAUAUGAAGCCUGACAAUAUUUUACUUGAUGAACACGGGCACGUGCACAUCACAGAUUUCAACAUUGCUGCGAUGCUGCCCAGGGAGACACAGAUUACCACCAUGGCUGGCACCAAGCCUUACAUGGCACCUGAGAUGUUCAGCUCCAGAAAAGGAGCAGGCUAUUCCUUUGCAGUUGACUGGUGGUCCCUGGGAGUGACGGCAUAUGAACUGCUGAGAGGCCGGAGACCAUAUCAUAUUCGCUCCAGUACUUCCAGCAAGGAAAUUGUACACACUUUUGAGACGACUGUUGUAACUUACCCUUCUGCCUGGUCACAGGAAAUGGUGUCACUUCUUAAAAAGCUACUCGAACCUAAUCCAGACCAACGAUUUUCUCAGUUAUCUGAUGUCCAGAACUUCCCGUAUAUGAAUGAUAUAAACUGGGAUGCAGUUUUUCAGAAGAGGCUCAUUCCAGGUUUCAUUCCUAAUAAAGGCAGACUGAAUUGUGAUCCUACCUUUGAACUCGAGGAAAUGAUUUUGGAGUCCAAACCUCUUCACAAGAAAAAAAAGCGUCUGGCAAAGAAGGAGAAAGAUAUGAGGAAAUGCGAUUCUUCUCAGGUAAGCAGGUCCCCACCAAACUCAGGGUCAUGGGUAUCCCCAUGAUGGCUGCAAUAUCUUCGGGAGCUUCUACUGGGAGGUCAUUUCAGCUUCCUGCUUUUGCUGCUUAGUGAAAUAGGAGAAGUAGAUCAGCCAGGCUUCUAAAAGGGCAGACCAGAGCUGCUCUGAGGAUCCUAGCAGCAAUGUUUUACUUGUAGGCUUUCCGUCUAGAGUUCUGCCAUUAACUUGACUCAGUUAUUUCUCUCUUCCAGUUCUCAGUUCAAAAUUUACAAAUUUCCUGGGAGAGGAACUGUCAUUGGCCAAGCUUAGGUCAGGGGAUGAUUCAUAAAAUUAUGGUAAAGGGGCAGGUUUCAAAGUACACACAUGGUUGUUUUGGACCUCACUCCUGCUUUGAGGAGUUUCUGGGAGCAGCCAACCCUAGAGAUGAUGUCUGUUCUUUGCCACAAGCAGAAUUUUAUGAUAUCAAGCCUCACAGAGGAGUGUCUGUUCACAGGAAUGAUGGAAUUCUAAUAUGGUGGAGCACUAUCGCUGGAUUUCAGGCUGAGUUAAAUUAACUUUGUAACUAAGUAUAUUAUUCUCUGUCUGAGUCAGAGCUCAGAUUUCAGUGAAAUAACUUGCAAACAGUAGGAUUUUAUACUCACAUGUGGCUCUGUGAAUUAUAAUGAUGAUGAAGUAAUAAACAUUUACUUUGCCUCU
This 2056-nucleotide small RNA is filed under the name Pongo abelii (Sumatran orangutan). RNAcentral describes it as "retained intron". The record is from RNAcentral. Lineage: Eukaryota; Metazoa; Chordata; Mammalia; Primates; Hominidae.